Molecule: ribosomal RNA, 253 nt
Filed under: uncultured bacterium
Lineage: Bacteria
Description: partial 16S ribosomal RNA
Rfam family: Bacterial small subunit ribosomal RNA
Source: RNAcentral
UACGUAGGGGGCAAGCGUUGUCCGGAUUUAUUGGGCGUAAAGAGCGUGUAGGCGGCCAGACAAGUCUGCUGUGAAAACUCGAGGCUCAACCUCGAGCUGUCGGUGGAAACUGUCUGGCUAGAGUCCGGAAGAGGCGAGUGGAAUUCCUGGUGUAGCGGUGAAAUGCGCAGAUAUCAGGAGGAACACCAAUGGCGAAGGCAGCUCGCUGGGACGGUACUGACGCUGAGGCGCGAAAGCUAGGGUAGCAAACGGG